This is a non-coding RNA of Picea glauca (white spruce), 84 nucleotides long. NCBI's taxonomy places the organism in Eukaryota, Viridiplantae, Streptophyta, Pinopsida, Pinales, Pinaceae. The record is from Rfam.
AAAUUCCUACAACAUAGCGUUAAUGCACCGGAUCCCAUUAGAACUCCGUAGUUAAGCACGCUUGGCAUAGAGUAGUACUGGGAU